GGCGGAAUUGGUAGACGCGCUAGCUUCAGGUGUUAGUGUUCUUACGGACGUGGGGGUUCAAGUCCCCCC
RNAcentral lists this transfer RNA (69 nucleotides) under Enterobacter cloacae. Its description in RNAcentral is "tRNA-Leu". RNAcentral also lists the same sequence under 29 other names. The record is from RNAcentral. Lineage: Bacteria; Pseudomonadati; Pseudomonadota; Gammaproteobacteria; Enterobacterales; Enterobacteriaceae.